UACAGAGGGGGCAAGCGUUGUUCGGAAUUACUGGGCGUAAAGGGCGCGUAGGUGGCCUUCUAAGUCGAACGUGAAAUCCCUGGGCUCAACCCAGGAACUGCGUCCGAGACUGGGAGGCUUGAAUCCGGGAGAGGGAUGUGGAAUUCCAGGUGUAGCGGUGAAAUGCGUAGAUAUCUGGAGGAACAUCGGUGGCGAAGGCGGCAUCCUGGACCGGUAUUGACGCUGAGGCGCGAAAGCCAGGGGAGCAAACGGG
This 253-nucleotide ribosomal RNA is filed under the name uncultured bacterium. Its description in RNAcentral is "partial 16S ribosomal RNA". It matches the Rfam family "Bacterial small subunit ribosomal RNA", at positions 524 to 776 of the family's 1533-position model. The record is from RNAcentral.